GGUUAAGCGACUAAGCGUACACGGUGGAUGCCCUGGCAGUCAGAGGCGAUGAAGGACGUGCUAAUCUGCGAAAAGCGCCGGCGAGGUGAUAUGAACCUUUGACCCGGCGAUGUCCGAAUGGGGAAACCCAGUGUGAUUCGUCACACUAUCGUUAACUGAAUACAUAGGUUAACGAGGCGAACCGGGGGAACUGAAACAUCUAAGUACCCCGAGGAAAAGAAAUCAACCGAGAUUCCCCCAGUAGCGGCGAGCGAACGGGGAGCAGCCCGGAGUCUGAAUCAGCUUGUGUGUUAGUGGAACGGUCUGGAAAGUCCGACGGUACAGGGUGAUAGUCCCGUACACGAAAAUGCACAGGUUGUGAACUCGAAGAGUAGGGCGGGACACGUGGUAUCCUGUCUGAAUAUGGGGGGACCAUCCUCCAAGGCUAAAUACUCCUGACUGACCGAUAGUGAACCAGUACCGUGAGGGAAAGGCGAAAAGAACCCCGGCGAGGGGAGUGAAAAAGAACCUGAAACCGUGUACGUACAAGCAGUGGGAGCCUACUUGUUAGGUGACUGCGUACCUUUUGUAUAAUGGGUCAGCGACUUAUAUUCUGUAGCAAGGUUAACCGAAUAGGGGAGCCGAAGGGAAACCGAGUCUUAACUGGGCGUUAAGUUGCAGGGUAUAGACCCGAAACCCGGUGAUCUAGCCAUGGGCAGGUUGAAGGUUGGGUAACACUAACUGGAGGACCGAACCGACUAAUGUUGAAAAAUUAGCGGAUGACCUGUGGCUGGGGGUGAAAGGCCAAUCAAACCGGGAGAUAGCUGGUUCUCCCCGAAAGCUAUUUAGGUAGCGCCUCGUGAACUCAUCUUCGGGGGUAGAGCACUGUUUCGGCUAGGGGGCCAUCCCGGCUUACCAACCCGAUGCAAACUACGAAUACCGAAGAAUGUUAUCACGGGAGACACACGGCGGGUGCUAACGUCCGUCGUGAAGAGGGAAACAACCCAGACCGCCAGCUAAGGUCCCAAAGUCAUGGUUAAGUGGGAAACGAUGUGGGAAGGCACAGACAGCCAGGAUGUUGGCUUAGAAGCAGCCAUCAUUUAAAGAAAGCGUAAUAGCUCACUGGUCGAGUCGGCCUGCGCGGAAGAUGUAACGGGGCUAAACCAUGCACCGAAGCUGCGGCAGCGACGCUUAUGCGUUGUUGGGUAGGGGAGCGUUCUGUAAGCCGUUGAAGGUGGCCUGUGAGGGUUGCUGGAGGUAUCAGAAGUGCGAAUGCUGACAUAAGUAACGAUAAAGCGGGUGAAAAGCCCGCUCGCCGGAAGACCAAGGGUUCCUGUCCAACGUUAAUCGGGGCAGGGUGAGUCGACCCCUAAGGCGAGGCCGAAAGGCGUAGUCGAUGGGAAACAGGUUAAUAUUCCUGUACUUGGUGUUACUGCGAAGGGGGGACGGAGAAGGCUAUGUUAGCCGGGCGACGGUUGUCCCGGUUUAAGCAUGUAGGCGGAGGUUCCAGGUAAAUCCGGUACCUUUUUAACGCUGAGGUGUGAUGACGAGGCACUACGGUGCUGAAGUAACAAAUGCCCUGCUUCCAGGAAAAGCCUCUAAGCAUCAGGUAACACGAAAUCGUACCCCAAACCGACACAGGUGGUCAGGUAGAGAAUACCAAGGCGCUUGAGAGAACUCGGGUGAAGGAACUAGGCAAAAUGGUGCCGUAACUUCGGGAGAAGGCACGCUGAUAUGUAGGUGAAGCCCCUGCGGGUGGAGCUGAAAUCAGUCGAAGAUACCAGCUGGCUGCAACUGUUUAUUAAAAACACAGCACUGUGCAAACACGAAAGUGGACGUAUACGGUGUGACGCCUGCCCGGUGCCGGAAGGUUAAUUGAUGGGGUUAGCGGCAACGCGAAGCUCUUGAUCGAAGCCCCGGUAAACGGCGGCCGUAACUAUAACGGUCCUAAGGUAGCGAAAUUCCUUGUCGGGUAAGUUCCGACCUGCACGAAUGGCGUAAUGAUGGCCAGGCUGUCUCCACCCGAGACUCAGUGAAAUUGAACUCGCUGUGAAGAUGCAGUGUACCCGCGGCAAGACGGAAAGACCCCGUGAACCUUUACUAUAGCUUGACACUGAACACUGGUCCUUGAUGUGUAGGAUAGGUGGGAGGCUUUGAAGCGUGGACGCCAGUCUGCGUGGAGCCGACCUUGAAAUACCACCCUUUAAUGGCUGGUGUUCUAACGUAGACCCGUAAUCCGGGUUGCGGACAGUGUCUGGUGGGUAGUUUGACUGGGGCGGUCUCCUCCCAAAGAGUAACGGAGGAGCACGAAGGUUAGCUAAUCCUGGUCGGACAUCAGGAGGUUAGUGCAAUGGCAUAAGCUAGCUUGACUGCGAGAGUGACGGCUCGAGCAGGUGCGAAAGCAGGUCAUAGUGAUCCGGUGGUUCUGAAUGGAAGGGCCAUCGCUCAACGGAUAAAAGGUACUCCGGGGAUAACAGGCUGAUACCGCCCAAGAGUUCAUAUCGACGGCGGUGUUUGGCACCUCGAUGUCGGCUCAUCACAUCCUGGGGCUGAAGUAGGUCCCAAGGGUAUGGCUGUUCGCCAUUUAAAGUGGUACGCGAGCUGGGUUUAGAACGUCGUGAGACAGUUCGGUCCCUAUCUGCCGUGGGCGCUGGAGAAUUGAGGGGGGCUGCUCCUAGUACGAGAGGACCGGAGUGGACGCAUCACUGGUGUUCGGGUUGUCAUGCCAAUGGCACUGCCCGGUAGCUAAAUGCGGAAGAGAUAAGUGCUGAAAGCAUCUAAGCACGAAACUUGCCCCGAGAUGAGUUCUCCCUGAGACUAUAAGUCUCCUGAAGGAACGUUGAAGACGACGACGUUGAUAGGUCGGGUGUGUAAGCGCAGCGAUGCGUUGAGCUAACCGAUACUAAUGAACCGUGAGGCUUAACCUU
This 2906-nucleotide ribosomal RNA is filed under the name Enterobacter kobei. RNAcentral's name for it is "23S ribosomal RNA". It matches the Rfam family "Bacterial large subunit ribosomal RNA". The record is from RNAcentral. Lineage: Bacteria; Pseudomonadati; Pseudomonadota; Gammaproteobacteria; Enterobacterales; Enterobacteriaceae.